This 492-nucleotide ribosomal RNA is filed under the name uncultured bacterium. Its description in RNAcentral is "partial 16S ribosomal RNA". It matches the Rfam family "Bacterial small subunit ribosomal RNA", at positions 29 to 507 of the family's 1533-position model. The record is from RNAcentral.
AGUGAACGCUGGCGGUAGGCCUAACACAUGCAAGUCGAACGGCAGCACAGUAAGAGCUUGCUCUUACGGGUGGCGAGUGGCGGACGGGUGAGGAAUACAUCGGAAUCUACUCUUUCGUGGGGGAUAACGUAGGGAAACUUACGCUAAUACCGCAUACGACCUACGGGUGAAAGCAGGGGAUCUUCGGACCUUGCGCGAUUGGAUGAGCCGAUGUCGGAUUAGCUAGUUGGGGGGGUAAAGGCCCACCAAGUGGACGAUCCGUAGCUGGUCUGGGAGGAUGAUCAGCCACACUGGAACUGAAACAGGGUCCAGACUCCUACGGGAGGCAGCAGUGGCGAAUAUUGGACAGUGGGCGCAAGCCUGGUCCAGCCAUACCGCGUGGGUGAAGGAGGCCUUCGGGUUGUAAAGCCCUUUUGUGGGGAAAGAAAAGCAGCAGGUUAAUACCCCGCUGUUCUGACGGUACCCAAAGAAUAAGCACCGGCUAACUUCGUG